GUCUUCUCCCAUGAGUGACGGCGUAAGCACCCUCGUGACGACCUAACAAGCUGAAUGACCCGCCUACUAGUCCCAAUGGCUGAGUAGAAUGGCUGUCGCCUUAAGAAGGCAGCAUGCCUGCCUCAGCUGGCCAUCCAAGCCAGGGGAAAAGGACGAACCCGACCGCGCUCCAGUGAUGCUGCUCUCUUUCUAAACAUUGUAGGCCAGAUAAAUAACUGUGUGAUGAAGUAUCCCCAGCUUGUCUCCACUCCGGCAGUGGUUAAGGAGUGGCUGGAGGCCGAGUUGGAAUGCCUCGGCAUCGACUCGGCCGCCUACGCCCGCACCGUGCUCUCCCUGUUGAGCCGCGACACCAUCGACCCGGCAGAGGUCAUACAGUCCGGCUACGUCCUGAUCGCCAACAAGGGCGGCCGCGGCGCUGGGGGCCUCGGCGGCCCGCACCCGCCCCGGACCAGGGAGGAGGAGCUGAAGCGAGCUGAGGUGAUCGAGUGUCUGCGCUCGGCGUCCGAGGACCACGGCGGCAUCCAGCUGCUGGUCGACCAGCUCAUCAGCAUGCUGAAGCAGCUGCCGGCCUCCUCGGAGCCGAGCGGGGACACGGCGUCCGACAGCAGCCGCCGGCCGGCCACCGGAGACCCGCCGCCGCCCGACGACCCCGUCCUCAGAUACGAGGCGGCGUUUCCGGCGCUGGGCCGCGGGUCUCCGGGAGUCAUCCCGCUGACGUACUUCAGCAAGAUGGGCCGGGCGGCGGCGCCGGCGGCGGCCGGCCUGUGGCGCGCCGACCUGGCGCCGGCCGCCGCCGUCUGGCCUACGACCCUGGACCACCUACGGCUGCUGCUGCCGCAGCCGUCCGAGCAAACAGCACCACUGGAGCCGGCCGGGGGCGCGCCCGCGCCGCCGACACCGCCACCCAAACCGCCCGAGCCGGCCGAGACGGCGCGCAUCAUCCGCCCCUCGGCCGAGACACACUUCCAGCCGAUCCGGCGCGCCAGCGGCGACGACGGCGGCGAGGAUUGGCCGCCGCCGGCCACCUACGACGCGCGGCUCUACAUGCGCUCCGAGAGCGGCGGCCUGUACCUGGAGGAUGAGGGACCGCGCUCAGCCGCCGAGCCACCACAAAAGUACAUGAUCUUCCGCGAGAGACCGACGCUGGCCAUGACCCGUCGCGGCCUGGCGCCCAAAUUCAAGCUAAGCUGCAAUGAAAAGUACUGUCAGACGGACGACCCGGCGACGGCGGACGGCGCCGGCCGAGACCUGCUCCAAAUAUUGGUUUCCGGAGAGCAGGCGGGCGAGGCGUGUGGCGCGGCGGCGGGCGACUCGGACGACGACGACGACUCCAGCUACGAGGUGCUCUCCAGCCUGCAGCAGACGCUGCACAGCAUCUACGAGGACGGCAGCGAGGCGGCGGACAGCGGCGCCGAGCCCGAGCUCGAGCCCGACCAGCCGGUCGAGCCGGCGCCGGCGCGCCGACCGUCGGCGUUCGCGCGCGUGCGCCGUCCGUCGCCGGGCCACCGGCCGCUGUACCUGCGCGGCGGCGGCGCCGACUCGCUGCUGGCGGCCGUGUACACGGGCGGCGACUGGUCGCCCGGCGACGCGGCCGUCUCCGAGCCGGCCGACCACCGGCCGCUGUACGCGCGCCAGCCGACCGGCGCGGCGGCCACCACCACCGGCGAGUUCGCCCAGCACCGGCAGCUCACGUCGGGCCGCAUCAGCAACUCGGUGUACUGGCAGGGGCCGACCGAGUACCCGGCGCUGCGCUACCAGCUGGCCGGCCGCGACCGGCCCGAGGUCACCUUCUGUCGGCUGAGCGGCGACACGCACAGGUCAGGGCCGCUGAAGGAGGACCCGGCCGCCGCCUGGGAGGCUGUAUCGGACGUGGCCCGCUCCUCGCGGGAGGCCAGUGUCUGCAGUGACACGGUCUCGGCCGGCGCCGCCGCUGACACCACCCUGUGGCAGGCGGCCGGCGAGCGUGAGCGGCGCGACCGGUCGGCGGACCGCGCGCUCUGGGAGGCGCGCGCCGCCGCCGGCCGCCGGCGCAGCUCGGUGGACAGUGCCGUCUGGGAGCAGGAGCCGGCGGCCGGCCUGUGGGAGGCGCCGCGCGGUCUGCACGAGCCGGAGGGCGGCUCGGACCUGGGCGCGCUCUGGGAGCCGGCGGCCGGUCUGGCGGAGCCGGAAGACGGCGCCGAGCCGGCCGCGCUGUGGGAGACGCCGCGCGGCCUCGCCGAACCAGAGGACGUGUCGGAGCUGGCGGUCUGGGAGACGCGCCGCGGCCGCGCCGAACGCGAGAGCUCGGUCGAGAUGACCAUAUGGGAAACAUCUGGAGAGCAGUCGGCAGCCACCGAGGCGCCGCCGGCCAACAUCUGGGAGUCGGGCUCGGCUCCGGCGUCCGGAAACACCUCAAUGGACGCGCGCUGGGCUCCUCGGGAGCUCGUUCAACGGGAGAAGUCGGUGGAAGAGGUGUGCUGGGAGUUCUCUGACGACCUGUCUCAGCGAGACAACUCGGUGGAGGACCCGGCCGCGGACGCGCGCUGGCAUGUGCCGCGCGGCCAGGGCGCCGGCGAGCGCAGCCUCUGGGAGUCUCCGGCCGAGCUGGCGCAGUGCGACCGCUCCAUCGAGGAGGCCAUCUGGGAGGCGCGCGACGAGCCAGCGCCGCGACACGACGGCUCGACCGAGAGGAGCCUCUGGGAGGCGGGCGGCGCCGCGCCGCAGGAGCCGGCGCCCUGGGGCGUGCCGGCCGGCCUGGCGCGGCAGCGGUCCGCCGAGCCGGCGCUGUGGCCGGCCGAGCCGCCGCGCUGGGAGGCCGACGAGGGCUCCGGCUGGCCCGCCUGGGACGACCCGCCGGUCGGCGCGCCCGAGCGCAUCUGGCGCCGCUCGGAGCCGGCGGCCGGCCUGCCCGAGUGGGGCGGCGCGCUGCCGGCGGCGUCCGACGGCGGCGGCGGCGGCGUCGAGGAGGGUGACGAGGAGGAGAUGCGCCGCCUGCUCUGGCGGCUCGGUGGGGACGACGUGCUCGCCCAGACCGGGCUCUACACGGCCGACAUCGCAGACGCCGCCAGGGGCUGGGAGUUUAUCGACGAGAACAACGUCAAAAACAAGAUCGACGCUCAUGCCGGCUCUGACGGCGGCCCGCUGUGUCCGCAGGCCGGCUCUGACGGCGGCCCGCUGGCCUCCGAGCUGGCUGACGGCGAGUCGGGCUGGCGUGUGCUGCCGGCGCUGCGUCAGCUCUCGGAGCGGCUCGGCCUGACCGAGGGCGCGCCGCUGCCCGACGGCGUGGCGCUCAAGGCCUGGACGCUGGAGGAACAGUGGCGCCGCGACGAGGGGCCACAGCGGCCGGCCCGCGACCGGCGAGUCAGGAGGUCUGACCGCAAGCGUCCCUGUAGCUAUUUUAUGGAAGGCAACUGCAAGCGGAACGAUUGUAAAUUCUCGCACGACCUGUCCGCAAUCACGUGCGUGUUUUGGGAGGAGAGCGGCUGCUUCAAGGGCGUGCACUGUCCCUUCCUCCACGGCUACCCGGCGGACGAUGAGGAGGACGAGGAUUCGAGCGACUCGGCCAAACGGGCCGUGCCCAAAAAGUCAUUCAAACUGGAAAAAGAAGACUUUCCUUCCCUUCACAACACGAAAAAAUGGCACAGAAAUGAUGAGGAUGAUAACCGGAAGGUGGGCCGGCGCAACUGUCGGCGGCACAAGUCGUUCUCGGACGCCACGCUGGGCGUCGGCGGCGGCGAGCCAGAGCUGCCCCGGCCGACCAUCGGCGGCCGCGGCAAGCGGCGCCGCCACCACUCCAAGAGCGAGGGCGUGCGGCCGACCGACACGGGCGCGCGCCGGCCGUGACCGCCGCUAGACGAGCAAUGUUCGCCCAGACGGACCGGGCUGCGCGGGGAGGCGCGAGUAGCGCAGGGCGUGAGCGAGCGUCGGUACAGCCGUGUCUCUGAGCGUAUGAGAGAGAUGGAUGAGAGAAAGUGAGCGAGUGAGUGAGUGUAUGAAUGAAUGACUGAGUGAGCGAGUGAGUGCGUGCGUGAAAGAAUGAAUGAAUGAAUGAAUGAGUGCGCGAUUGAGUCAGGGACAGCAAACGAGUGAGAACAGUGAGCUGAUGCGGCUGUGUGCGGGUCGUGAGGAGAGGAGAGUGACGGGCUCGGAGAGCGAGGACGGGAGGACGGGAGUGAGGCGGCUGAGCUGGUGGGGCGAUUCGUGGGCCCGGGUGCUCGGGCGGACGGACGGACCAGCCGCGCGCUCGGCCGCGCCCCACCAACCCGGGCCCGCUCCCCAUGUAUUAUGUGCAAGCUUCGCUGACAAAACUAUUAACUCAUUGUUUUGUAGUGGGCGAUCGGUUGGAAUUUGUCGUCCCACCCUUAUCAAGCGCGGAGUGUUCUAAUCCAGAGGCCUGCGAAGUCGGAACCCCACAAAACAAAGAGCUUAACCAGUACGACCUUGUCGGCCCACACCUAUACCCGCCGUGCUUGCAUACACCCAGAAAGGAGUGUGCGGUCCAAAAUUGUAGGUGUUUAGUGUAGACGACUGCAGGCCGAGCUGUGGGCACACCAAAGCCAGCUCUGAACGAAAGCCAGCGGCUGCUGAUGCGAGGGAUGAGUCAGACUGUCGCCGACCGUCACCGAGCUAGGACAAAUGAACGAUAGUAGAUUAGCAGCAACUUUUGUCAGCCUCACGCAUUGUUUUGUUCCUCCUGUUCUUCGUCUUACCAAACACGUUGUGUAAGUGUUCUAGUUUCCUUCACACCAAAGUCGGCGUCGCCGCGGCUGCGGACGCCCGUGGACGGAGACACACAAAUGGAAGCCCAGUCCGACGCAAAUAAACGUCAAACCUUG
This 4814-nucleotide unclassified non-coding RNA is filed under the name Amphibalanus amphitrite. Its description in RNAcentral is "uncharacterized LOC122382755, transcript variant X5". The record is from RNAcentral. Lineage: Eukaryota; Metazoa; Arthropoda; Thecostraca; Balanomorpha; Balanidae.